RNAcentral lists this ribosomal RNA (253 nucleotides) under uncultured bacterium. Its description in RNAcentral is "partial 16S ribosomal RNA". It matches the Rfam family "Bacterial small subunit ribosomal RNA", at positions 524 to 776 of the family's 1533-position model. The record is from RNAcentral.
UACGUAGGUGGCAAGCGUUAUCCGGAAUUAUUGGGCGUAAAGCGCGCGUAGGCGGUUUUUUAAGUCUGAUGUGAAAGCCCACGGCUCAACCGUGGAGGGUCAUUGGAAACUGGAAAACUUGAGUGCAGAAGAGGAAAGUGGAAUUCCAUGUGUAGCGGUGAAAUGCGCAGAGAUAUGGAGGAACACCAGUGGCGAAGGCGACUUUCUGGUCUGUAACUGACGCUGAUGCGCGAGAGCGUGGGGAUCAAACAGG